Molecule: ribosomal RNA, 433 nt
Filed under: uncultured bacterium
Lineage: Bacteria
Description: partial 16S ribosomal RNA
Rfam family: Bacterial small subunit ribosomal RNA
Source: RNAcentral
AACGAACGCUGGCGGCAUGCCUAACACAUGCAAGUCGAACGAGACCUUCGGGUCUAGUGGCGCACGGGUGCGUAACGCGUGGGAACCUGCCCUUAGGUUCGAAAUAACUCCCCGAAAGGGGUGCUAAUACCGGAUAAUGUCUUCGGACCAAAGAUUUAUUGCCUUUGGAUGGGCCCGCGUUGGAUUAGCUAGUUGGUAGGGUAAAAGCCUACCAAGGCGACGAUCCAUACAUGGUCUGAGAGGAUGAUCAGCAACACUGGGACUGAGACACGGCCCAGACUCCUACGGGAGGCAGCAGUGGGGAAUAUUGGACAAUGGGCGGAAGCCUGAUCCAGCAAUGCCGCGUGAGUGAUGAGGGCAUUAGGGUUGUAAAGCUCUUUUACCCGGGAUGAUAAUGACAGUACCGGGAGAAUAAGCUCCGGCUAACUCCGUG